GAUGAACGCUGGCGGCGUGCCUAAUACAUGCAAGUCGAGCGAACAGACGAGGAGCUUGCUCCUCUGACGUUAGCGGCGGACGGGUGAGUAACACGUGGAUAACCUACCUAUAAGACUGGGAUAACUUCGGGAAACCGGAGCUAAUACCGGAUAAUAUAUUGAACCGCAUGGUUCAAUAGUGAAAGACGGUUUUGCUGUCACUUAUAGAUGGAUUCGCGCCGCAUUAGCUAGUUGGUAAGGUAACGGCUUACCAAGGCAACGAUGCGUAGCCGACCUGAGAGGGUGAUCGGCCACACUGGAACUGAGACACGGUCCAGACUCCUACGGGAGGCAGCAGUAGGGAAUCUUCCGCAAUGGGCGAAAGCUUGACGGAGCAACGCCGCGUGAGUGAUGAAGGUCUUCGGAUCGUAAAACUCUGUUAUUAGGGAAGAACAAAUGUAUAAGUAACUAUGCACGUCUUGACGGUACCUAAUCAGAAAGCCACGGCUAACUACGUG
RNAcentral lists this ribosomal RNA (497 nucleotides) under uncultured bacterium. RNAcentral describes it as "partial 16S ribosomal RNA". It matches the Rfam family "Bacterial small subunit ribosomal RNA", at positions 28 to 507 of the family's 1533-position model. The record is from RNAcentral.